ACCUUUACAUAAAAUUUUCAUCCGUUACCGUAGAUUUUUUAUUCGCUAAAAAGAAAACUUACUUAAAUAGCAUCAUUUAGAAAUUCCACCGGCAUUUCUUCCUUUCAAGCUUCGGAAGUUGUAUGUUUGACCAUAUAUGGAUCUCAAAUAACAACUUAUAACUAGUAAUCAUUUAAUUCCAUCACCAAUUUUGUUCCCUUUUGAUCCAUCACUAUAGAUUUUCAUUUCGUUGAAAACAGAAAACCUAUUAAUGAAGCAUCAUCGACAUAUUCCGAAAUCAUUUCCACCAUUUCAUGCGUCGAGGGUAGUCUGUGCAUCUAUAUGCACCUCAGAUAGCAACUUACCUAUAGAAAUUGGACAAUUUGGUACAUUUAUUAACCGUUUUUAUCCAUCAUGGUAGAUUUUCUAUUUUUGUGAAACUAAAAACAUGUUUAAAUAGCAUUACCGAUAAGUGAUAGAAGCCUUGCUUCGUUUCUUGUUUCGAAGUUGUCUGUGCCGCCAUUUGAAAAUCCUACAACAACUUAUAUAUGUAGGAGUCACAUAAUUUUUAGUAGUUUUACAUAACCUUUUGAUUUAUUACUUUACAUUUUCUCCUCCUUCGAAUCAUAUAACUCAUUUAAAUAGGACAUUCGACACAUUAUAACAGCCUUUCAAUCAUUCAAUUCUUCGAUAGUAGUCUCGACCGUCGUAUGGAAGUCAUAGAACAGCUCAUCCAAAUAAAUUAUUCAUGUUUAGCACCAUUACAUAAACUUUUUUUCCGUUAACGUAGAUUUUUUAUACGCUAAAAAGAAAACUUACUUAAAUAGCAUCAUUUAGAAAUUCCACCGGCAUUUCUUCCUUUCAGGUUUCGGAAGUUGUAUGUUUGACCAUAUACGGAUCUCAAAUAACAACUUAUAACUAGUAAUCAUUUAAUGCCAUCAACAAUUUUGUUCCCUUUUGAUCCAUCACUAUAGAUUUUCAUUUCAUUGAAAACUGAAAACCUAUUAAUGAAGCAUCAUCGAC
This 1002-nucleotide long non-coding RNA is filed under the name Triticum aestivum (bread wheat). Its description in RNAcentral is "long non-coding RNA (TAES_LNC019327)". Lineage: Eukaryota; Viridiplantae; Streptophyta; Magnoliopsida; Poales; Poaceae. The record is from RNAcentral.